AAUCUACCUAGUAGAAGGGGAUAGCCCGAGGAAACUCGGAUUAAUACCGUAUACGUCCUUAGGGAGAAAGAGGGCUUAGCUUUGAUGCUCUCGCUAUUAGAUGAGCCUGCGUAAGAUUAGCUUGUUGGUGAGGUAAAGGCUCACCAAGGCGACGAUCUUUAGCUGGUCUGAGAGGACGAUCAGCCACAUUGGGACUGAGACACGGCCCAGACUCCUACGGGAGGCAGCAGUGGGGAAUAUUGGACAAUGGGCGCAAGCCUGAUCCAGCCAUACCGCGUGUGUGAAGAAGGCCUUCGGGUUGUAAAGCACUUUAAGUAAGGAAGAAAAGAAUAUUGUUAAUACCAAUACUCCGUGACAUUACUUACAGAAUAAGGACCGGCUAAUUCCGUGCCAGCAGCCGCGGUAAUACGGAAGGUCCAAGCGU
RNAcentral lists this ribosomal RNA (424 nucleotides) under uncultured bacterium. RNAcentral describes it as "bacterial SSU rRNA". It matches the Rfam family "Bacterial small subunit ribosomal RNA", at positions 123 to 541 of the family's 1533-position model. The record is from RNAcentral.